Molecule: ribosomal RNA, 518 nt
Filed under: uncultured Glomus
Lineage: Eukaryota; Fungi; Glomeromycota; Glomeromycetes; Glomerales; Glomeraceae
Description: SSU rRNA
Rfam family: Eukaryotic small subunit ribosomal RNA
Source: RNAcentral
AGCAGCCGCGGUAAUUCCAGCUCCAAUAGCGUAUAUUAAAGUUGUUGCAGUUAAAAAGCUCGUAGUUGAAUUUUGGGGUCAGUAGAUUGGUCGUGCCACUGGUAUGCACUGGUCUUACUGGCUCCUCCUUCCUGAUGAACCGUAAUGCCAUUAAUUUGGUGUUGCGGGGAGACUGGACCGUUACUUUGAAAAAAUUAGAGUGUUUAAAGCAGGCUAACGCUUGAAUACAUUAGCAUGGAAUAAUGAAAUAGGACGUUCGAUCUUAUUUUGUUGGUUUCUAAGAUUGACGUAAUGAUUAAUAGGGAUAGUUGGGGGCAUUAGUAUUCAAUUGUCAGAGGUGAAAUUCUUGGAUUUAUUGAAGACUAACUACUGCGAAAGCAUUUGCCAAGGAUGUUUUCAUUAAUCAAGAACGAAAGUUAGGGGAUCGAAGACGAUCAGAUACCGUCGUAGUCUUAACCAUAAACUAUGCCGACUAGGGAUCGGAUGAUGUUAAUUUUUAAUGACUCAUUCGGCGUUCG